Long non-coding RNA from Phyllostomus hastatus (greater spear-nosed bat), 3736 nucleotides. RefSeq lists it as uncharacterized. The record is from RefSeq and is a predicted model, not a curated record. The transcript has 3 exons. Lineage: Eukaryota; Metazoa; Chordata; Mammalia; Chiroptera; Phyllostomidae.
CCCAGCCCCGACCCGGGCCCAUUGUCAGCCGGCUUUUCCACCGCAGCUUUGGCGUCUGGCUCCAGAAGGAAGCGGAAAACGGGAGGCUGCUCUGGAAGCCUCCUCCCCAUCUUCCUGCGCCGUCAACUUUUCAGGAGUGGCUGGAGAGAGAGAUAGAUGCAUGUGCCCAGCAAGACAACAAACCCAGGUCCAUGUGUUCAAAUCCUUGUAGCCAGGGCGGCGGCCAGCCAAAGAAAUGCCGCCCCCCGGAGCAGGCGUGUGCGGCUCCUGGCAUUCUGGGUUUCAUACCCGUGGGGCUCGGGUGCGGUGAGUAUUUCCGUUUUCCAGGAAGUCUGUUGGAAGUUAGCAGCAGGGAGGGAGAAGGCGCCUGGUUCUCUCUUUUCCUCUUCUCCCCUUCUCCUUGUCGCUCUGACUAGGGGCUUGCUGGUUCAGAUGCAGUGAGGACUCCCCGGCUGCCCCCAUUGUCUCCCGCACCUUCCUGCUCCUUGGCCACCAGGGAUGUUUGCACUCAGGAGGUUCUGUUGUGGGAAACAGCACCGCAGCCCCAAGUCUUCAGCUGUAUAGACGGAGCCCAGGACAGAUGUGGGGGAAGCACCUCUGGCUGGGAGAGAAGCACCCAGAUCUUUACAACUGCCUAGGUUUGCAUCCUUCGAUCCCUUUUCUUCUUCUUAAAACGUGUGGAGGUUUCCUAAAAGCAGCCCCUGCAGGUACCCAGAAGUGGCUCCAGUGCCUGUUUCUAAAGAUCAUCUGAGGGAGCUUCUUAGCAGGGAAGAUAGAGUCCGUGAAGAUGGGUAUUUUGGAUUUGCAAAACAAAAUGGCGACAUUUUCCACCUCUGCCCCUGACACAGAAUUCAAGGGGAAAGGGGGUUUAUUGGUCACAGCAGAGGUUCCUGGUCCCGGAUGCAGGUAGCUCCUCACUUCCAGCUUUGAAGGAGGAUGCUGAUGGGGAUGCAGCCCGGAGGUCUGCGCUUUCUGAAUCUGGUUCCUUCUCUGAGCAGGUCUGUCCUCUGGAGAUGAAAAGAGUCCCCUUCCCCGAGCCUGCCUUUGCCUCUGCCUGCCAGCCAGCCAGUCGGCCGCCCAGGAGCAGAAAUGUAAUAUUUAGCUCCUGUAGCAUCAAAUGAAACAAGUACUUGCAAAAUUGCAUUUUUAUUAAAAAGAUAUUAAUCUCCUUUCUCUCUCCCCCUCCCCCUGGGGCCAUAAAAAGAACCCGGGGAGUGCAGAAGGAGAGGAAAUAAAUCCAGAGAAAGCCAAAUCCUAAAUUCCGACAGGAAGCCGGUGCUGGGACUGCAGCAGUCGGAGGCAGGGCUCGGCCUUCCUCGCGCUGGAGCCCUGGGUGAGCCUCAGUCUCCUUCCAGCCGCCUCGCUCCUAGUGGCAAUUUUAGAAGGGAUUCUUGCCUCCCGGUUUGAUAAAGGACCAGGCGGCAUCCGCGGAGAGUCGGGUUGCUCCUGGAAAGUGUUCGGCAUCCUCCGCGGGGCUGGCGGUUCCCCAGGUUAAGAUGUGGGCCAGAAGGCUUUGACCGGAGGAAGAUCGAGGACACGGAGACAGCCCGCUUACUCCCCGGUGGGGCCGCCCGGCACCUGUGCGCCCCCCGCCGCGCCUGGGCCGGCUGCCUUUGUUUCUCCUGCCGUCAGCUCUCCGCUCGCAGCCCCCGUGCCCGCCGCCGGCCUCCGUGGCAGCUGGGAACCAGGCAGCCCAGCGGGCUGGCCGCUCGGCGUCUCCAGAGCUGCAGCCGCCGGGAGCUCCGGCUGCCUUCCAGAGAAUUCGCCGUUCUCCGGGUCCAGCCUCCCCGCCAGGCCCCAGCCGGAGCUGCGGCGCGGCUGCGGCCUGCUCCGCCAGUUCGCCUCCAUUCCACGCAGACCCCCAUCUUCGGUCAAAGAACCCCUUCCGAACGCGGAUAUUAUUCAGAAUAAAAACUUUAUUUUUUUUUUGUUUUGUUUCUCAGAGUGUGAGCAGCAAGGAAUGUAGAACUCUCAAAACAAAUGUAGCAGUUUUCGCGUUUACAGAUUGUUUUCUUCAGUUUCGCCGGAUGUUACAAAUUAAAUCACCGCUUUUCGAAAGCUGGAUCCUCUCUGGUAUUAUUGCAUCGUUACCGUUUUUUAUAAAGGAAUUACAUUUCCCUUUCAAAUAAAAAAUUUCCUACGUACGCCAAUACACCAUUGAACAAAAGGCCCAAGAAACCUUCUGAACAAUCAGGGUACAGAAUUUCUUUAAUAUAAAUACGAACGGAUGGGGAUAAAUAAUAUUUAAAACUUAGAUUAUUCAAUGCUUGCAAAAAAAAUAUAAAUAAAUCUGACUGUUCACCAGCAUACACACACGGAAAGACGUACACGUAGUUAACCUUGCACAGGGGGUCCCUGUCUCAAAGCGCCUUUGAUUUUUUUUUCUCGCUCUUUACAAGAAGUGCAAUUAAAAAACUAAAAUUAAAAAAAAAAAGUAAUCGCGUCCCCUCGGGAGCCAUAAUGUACGAACAAAUUCACAUUGAAGAACUCGGCUAGAAAAUUUGUUCAUAUACCCUGUUUCUGAUCAAAGAGUAGAGAAGGUAAAGGGUGCAGGGCCAGCGGCCGACGAGGGGCGGGAAGAGAUAAAUAUCGCUACUGAUACUGACAGCCAUUCCAGCAACCAAGAUUGCUACGUCACAAAAACUAUAAAAACGCGUUACCAAAGAAAACAAAACGGGGCGAGGGGAGGGAGCAGAGGAGAGAGAGAGAAAAGGGAGGGGCCGGGAGAACCUUAAAACAAAAAAAGCAAAGGAAGAGGAGAGGGGAGGGGGGACUCUCCUGGCGCGCAGCCCCGAGCCCACCAUCACAGGCAUGUCCCAGCAAGCCACUCCUACCUCUCCUCCUCUGUGACAGAAGGUCCCCAGACCCUCCUGCCUUGGACUUUCUGAGGUGCUGUUAUUCAGAGCAACUAUCAAAUUCUACCUGUUAAAACAUGAUGGAUUAGAGAAAAAAACAACCCACCAGGAACCUGAAAAACCAGCGUUCAUCUCCAUGACCACGGCGUGAACUCUCCUUCCAACUUAACGAUAAUAGGUUCUGUCUUAGAAACUGCUAUGUAAUUUGAUGUAUGGGGGUCAUUUGGCUCCGGACAAGGGAUGGAAGCACAAGCCAUAAAAUCCUGCCAGAGUUCCCUGAUCUUUGUGUGCUGCUGCUGCUGCUGCUGCUGUUGAUAUUUGUUACUUGGCCUAUUUACCUGCUUCAGAAACACCAAGUAAAGGGCAACCCUAGAAGUCUAAAAAGCAAUCAAAAGCCUUCUCAACUAUUUUUUAUUUAGAAAGCACUUUGCAGAAAUAAAAUCUGUUUCUUUUUUUUUUUUCAACCUUUGCAUGGUCAACCACUGGUUCUGCUCAGAAAAGUUCCACGUGAGUUCAUAUAUUCACACUCACACUCUGACACAGUCACAAUGUUUCUCUCUGACCACUUAAGGAAACUGCAGUGACAAAUAUGUGAAGAAAAUGGUUUACACGUCACACCCCAACUGUGUGGAUUCGAGUCCUGGAGUUAUUCAAGUUUUCCAGGAAUAGCAGGCACUUUGUUAACUAGAAAAAAAUAAUGUAAUAAGCUUGUACCAACAGAUGAUUACACUGUAAUUUUGUCUUUAAUAAUGUACUCCUUUGGAUUUCAUUAUUAAACCAACGAUCUGACCAACAUCUGCAAAAUAGGCACAAUUAAUUUUCCAGGACCUCAAUUAAAAAAUUACAGCAUGCGAUACCCAGAGUGAUUGUGUGUGAUCCGG